UAAGACGAACCGUGCGAACGUUGUUCGGAAUCACUGGGCUUAAAGGGCGCGUAGGCGGGCAUUCAAGUCAGGGGUGAAAUCCCCCAGCUCAACUGGGGAACUGCCUCUGAUACUGGGUGCCUCGAGUAAGGUAGGGGCAUGCGGAACUGAUGGUGGAGCGGUGAAAUGUGUUGAUAUCAUCAGGAACUCCGGUGGCGAAAGCGGCAUGCUGGACCUUCACUGACGCUGAUGCGCGAAAGCUAGGGGAGCGAACGGGAUUAGAUACCCCGGUAGUCCUAGCCCUAAACGAUGAGUACUAGGUUGUAGUCUUGACAUGGGAUUACAGCCGGAGCAAAAGUGCUAAGUACUCCGCCUGGGGAGUAUGGUCGCAAGGCUG
RNAcentral lists this ribosomal RNA (376 nucleotides) under uncultured bacterium. RNAcentral describes it as "bacterial SSU rRNA". It matches the Rfam family "Bacterial small subunit ribosomal RNA", at positions 521 to 896 of the family's 1533-position model. The record is from RNAcentral.